GCAGUGGGGAAUCUUGGACAAUGGGGGCAACCCUGAUCCAGCCAUGCCGCGUGAGUGAUGAAGGCCUUAGGGUCGUAAAGCUCUUUCGCCAGAGAUGAUAAUGACAGUAUCUGGUAAAGAAACCCCGGCUAACUCCGUGCCAGCAGCCGCGGUAAUACGGAGGGGGUUAGCGUUGUUCGGAAUUACUGGGCGUAAAGCGCACGUAGGCGGAUUAGUCAGUCAGAGGUGAAWUCCCRGGGYUCAMCCCKGGAMCUSCCUUURAUACUGCUAGUCUWGAGUUCGAGAGAGGUGAGUGGAAUUCCGAGUGUAGAGGUGAAAUUCGUAGAUAUUCGGAGGAACACCAGUGGCGAAGGCGGCUCACUGGCUCGAUACUGACGCUGAGGUGCGAAAGUGUGGGGAGCAAACAGGAUUAGAUACCCUGGUAGUCCACACCGUAAACGAUGAAUGCCAGUCGUCGGGUAGUAUACUAUUCGGUGACACACCUAACGGAUUAAGCAUCCUG
Molecule: ribosomal RNA, 502 nt
Filed under: uncultured Alphaproteobacteria bacterium
Lineage: Bacteria; Pseudomonadati; Pseudomonadota; Alphaproteobacteria
Description: bacterial SSU rRNA
Rfam family: Bacterial small subunit ribosomal RNA
Source: RNAcentral